This 468-nucleotide ribosomal RNA is filed under the name uncultured bacterium. Its description in RNAcentral is "partial 16S ribosomal RNA". It matches the Rfam family "Bacterial small subunit ribosomal RNA", at positions 28 to 507 of the family's 1533-position model. The record is from RNAcentral.
GACGGACGCUGGCGGCGUGCUUAACACAUGCAAGUCGAACGGAAAGGCCCUGCUUUUGUGGGGUGCUCGAGUGGCGAACGGGUGAGUAACACGUGAGUAACCUGCCCUUGACUUUGGGAUAACUUCAGGAAACUGGGGCUAAUACCGGAUAGGAGCUCCUGCUGCAUGGUGGGGGUUGGAAAGUUUCGGCGGUUGGGGAUGGACUCGCGGCUUAUCAGCCUGUUGGUGGGGUAGUGGCUUACCAAGGCUUUGACGGGUAGCCGGCCUGAGAGGGUGACCGGCCACAUUGGGACUGAGAUACGGCCCAGACUCCUACGGGAGGCAGCAGUGGGGAAUAUUGCACAAUGGGCGGAAGCCUGAUGCAGCAACGCCGCGUGCGGGAUGACGGCCUUCGGGUUGUAAACCGCUUUCGCCUGUGACGAAGCGUGAGUGACGGUAAUGGGUAAAGAAGCACCGGCUAACUACGUG